GCCCUAAAUCUAAUUUCUCCUCCCUGAGACCCUGAGUCCCUGACCCGAGAAGGCAAGAACUACUUGCAUUGAAACGGUGAAACUGUGAAAAGAAUCAAAGGAUCUGCGUUCUACUUCUGUGUUCUACCUGCGAAAUCUUUGGCUGCUUCUCCUCCCUCACGUGAAAUCAGAGGAGUAAACAAGCUAAAGAACUCAUUGAAAGCAUUAUAUGUCUAUUCCUAGAUUACCAGUUUCAAGGUUUAUUAGUGCUUUUGAAUGAUUGCAUGCAAGCCAUUGUCAAUUACUUCACAGACCAGGAAUGGCAUUCAAGUUGUGAGAACAUAGCAAAAUUCGUUGCUUCCAGGUUGUUAUUACUUUUGGUGUCAAUAAUAGUAAUUCAGUGAUGCUAUUGUUUGGCACAAAUUUCUUUGGCACCACAAAACUUCCUUAUAUAGAUAGAUAACAUCAACCUUGUGCUACUUCAUGAAUCAAAAUACAUAGUUAUUCAUCACUUGUUUAAUUUUUGAGAGACGAAUUAAUACAGAGUAGCUCAGCUAGAAAGCCUUGGAUUGUGGCUGCUAGUGUUGGAGUUGUGGAGGCUUUAAAGGACCAAAGAGUGUGCAUGUGUAUGAUAAAUAAUGCCAUUGGUGGAUCUAGAUUGCAUUAUUUGAUUCUAAGGGAGAAUUUUGUAGCUUAAGCCUAAUCAAUUAGUGAGUCAUUCUUCUUGUUCUUCAUUUGUAUAUAUAGCUAUAUCAACAAGUGUGAUAAUGGUGGAGGAUGCAUGGUUCAUAUGAAAUCCUGCUUGCAAAAUAAUGGGGUAAAGAAAAUAAUAUCAAGAAAUUUCUUGAGAUAA
This is a long non-coding RNA of Arachis duranensis, 832 nucleotides long. RefSeq lists it as uncharacterized. The record is from RefSeq and is a predicted model, not a curated record. The transcript is spliced from 2 exons. Lineage: Eukaryota; Viridiplantae; Streptophyta; Magnoliopsida; Fabales; Fabaceae.